RNAcentral lists this long non-coding RNA (221 nucleotides) under Homo sapiens (human). RNAcentral's name for it is "long non-coding RNA NONHSAT220320". Lineage: Eukaryota; Metazoa; Chordata; Mammalia; Primates; Hominidae. The record is from RNAcentral.
AAUGAUACAUGCUUCUUGCUUUCAUUGGGAGUUGCUGAGCGAGCAUUCAGCUCAAUAUGGUAGUGGCCUUGAAUUCAGCUUAGCCAUCUGGAAACAAGUACAGUAGCAGUGUCGCAGCGAGGUACUAGGACUGCAAUUCUGCUGUACUUCGUGGCACCUUGGCUUCUUGUUAGAUGAGGAAAAGCAUCGUGCUCUUUGUUCUCAGGUGUUUGUGUGCAGAU